This 465-nucleotide ribosomal RNA is filed under the name uncultured bacterium. Its description in RNAcentral is "partial 16S ribosomal RNA". It matches the Rfam family "Bacterial small subunit ribosomal RNA", at positions 28 to 507 of the family's 1533-position model. The record is from RNAcentral.
GACGAACGCUGGCGGCGUGCUUAACACAUGCAAGUCGAACGGAAAGGCCCCUUUGGGGGUACUCGAGUGGCGAACGGGUGAGUAACACGUGAGUAACUUGCCCUUGACUUCGGGAUAACUUCAGGAAACUGGGGCUAAUACCGGCUAGGAAUGCUUGCUGCAUGGUGGGGGUUGGAAAGCUUCGGUGGUUUUGGAUGGACUCGCGGCUUAUCAGUUUGGUUGUGGGGUAGUGGCUUACCAAGGCUUUGACGGGCAGCCGGCCUGAGAGGGCGACCGGCCACAUUGGGACUGGGAUACGGCCCAGACUCCUACGGGGGGCAACAGGGGGGAAUAUUGCACAAUGGGCGGAAGCCUGGUGCAGCAACGCCGCGUGCGGGAUGACGGCCUUCGGGUUGUAAACCGCUUUCAGCAGGGGCGAAGCUUGGGGUGACGGUACCUGCAGAAGAAGCACCGGCUAACUACGUG